RNAcentral lists this ribosomal RNA (408 nucleotides) under Lactobacillus gallinarum. RNAcentral describes it as "bacterial SSU rRNA". It matches the Rfam family "Bacterial small subunit ribosomal RNA", at positions 641 to 1047 of the family's 1533-position model. Lineage: Bacteria; Bacillati; Bacillota; Bacilli; Lactobacillales; Lactobacillaceae. The record is from RNAcentral.
CUUGAGUGCAGAAGAGGAGAGUGGAACUCCAUGUGUAGCGGUGGAAUGCGUAGAUAUAUGGAAGAACACCAGUGGCGAAGGCGGCUCUCUGGUCUGCAACUGACGCUGAGGCUCGAAAGCAUGGGUAGCGAACAGGAUUAGAUACCCUGGUAGUCCAUGCCGUAAACGAUGAGUGCUAAGUGUUGGGAGGUUUCCGCCUCUCAGUGCUGCAGCUAACGCAUUAAGCACUCCGCCUGGGGAGUACGACCGCAAGGUUGAAACUCAAAGGAAUUGACGGGGGCCCGCACAAGCGGUGGAGCAUGUGGUUUAAUUCGAAGCAACGCGAAGAACCUUACCAGGUCUUGACAUCUAGUGCCAUCCUAAGAGAUUAGGAGUUCCCUUCGGGGACGCUAAGACAGGUGGUGCAUG